Acanthosepion pharaonis is the source of this 100-nucleotide non-coding RNA. Lineage: Eukaryota; Metazoa; Mollusca; Cephalopoda; Sepiida; Sepiidae. The record is from the annotation of a GenBank genome assembly.
CAUUAAAAGACCGGUUCCCAUAAAAUCACCAAAGUUAAGCAACGUCGAGCCUGGCUCAGUACCUAGAUGGGUAACCGUUUGGAAUUACCAGGUGUUGUAA